AUGCUCAGUUGCUCAGCACACAUACUAAAAUUUGAACAGUGAGAAGAUUAGCAUGACCCUUGCACAAGGAUGACACACAAAAAACUAAUGUUCCAUCAUUGCAAAUCUUU
Molecule: small nuclear RNA, 110 nt
Organism: Cervus hanglu yarkandensis (Yarkand deer)
Lineage: Eukaryota; Metazoa; Chordata; Mammalia; Artiodactyla; Cervidae
Source: Ensembl